CAUUUUCUCCAGGAGGUCAGGAGAGGCCUCAUUUCUCAUCCUGACAUGAUCACGGCUGCAUUGUCCUUGAGCACAGGGCAUCCUCGGGCCCAGCCUACCUGAUCCAGUCGGAGUUCUGGACGGCCAGCUGACACAUGAUGAGACGGUGCCGACUGGACACGAGGCCCUGGGAAGCAACAGAGUGGUCACAGAGAGCCUGUCCCCAACUCCCACCGUCCUAGGCCAUCAGCUCAAACAGAUCAUUACCCGGUGCAGCCAGUUUUCGGUGUUAAGUGAGAUGUGGUCUCAUUACUUUUCCGUCUGCCACACAGACAGGCAUGAAGUGGCAGAGGGGAAAGAAAAAGAAGAAGGAUCUGUGGCAUAGUCUGCCCCAACAGGGUCAGAGCCCUUCCACUCUGAAAGGACACCUAGAAAGUGCCAAUUCUUCCACUCUGAGAGGACACAUGGCAGUCCAAGGAACAGACUUGUCACACACGGGAUCUGUCGGUACCUU
This is a long non-coding RNA of Fukomys damarensis (Damara mole-rat), 493 nucleotides long. RefSeq lists it as uncharacterized. The record is from RefSeq and is a predicted model, not a curated record. NCBI's taxonomy places the organism in Eukaryota, Metazoa, Chordata, Mammalia, Rodentia, Bathyergidae. The transcript has 3 exons.